CCAGAUCUCCAUGGAAGAUGAAGAAGUCCUCGGGGAUCUGCUGGAUGCGGUUGCCGGCCACUAGCAGCUUGCGCACGUCCAGCGGGAAGGGAUCGGGCACGCUAGGAAGCCCGCGAUCGCGACAGUCCACCGUGUGGGGGUGGAGACCGCGGAGGGAGCCCAGCGCGACCCUACUCGGGCGGGGAAUUGGGACCUGUCGCACAGACCUGGCCAGCGGUGCUCAAGACUAAGUUCAGUGACGGAUCCCUGGAGCGAUUUCCAUGGGGCGUGUCUGGGGCAUGCGCCCGGAGCGCCACCCUCGCCUUUGCCAAAGGGGCCCAGGUCACUCUAGCUCCAAGUCUGGGACAAAGCCCGAAGGCUGUCAAGUCCUCGCCUGGGGCUGCGAAGCUGAGAAUUGGCUAGACUCCAGGAUAGCUGGGCUUCCCUCCGACCCCCUCCUUCCUCCCACCUGCUUUUGUCCCACCUCCUGCAGGAGGAGAGUGUGAGCCUGGCGGGUGGCUGCCAAGGUCCGGCUGUGACUGAAAGGAUAGCCAGGGCCAGGACCAGUCAGCGUUUUCCACGCUGGUCCUGAGCUUGGAGAUAGAACUGAUUAUCCUCCCAGCACGGAUCUUCUGUGGCUCUGAGCAAAGCCAAAGCAAGAGGCACUGGGGCAGUUUGGAGGAGAGUGACCUGGAACCGGGGUCCCUAGUGGCCCCUGACCUCCUGUCGAAUCAUCUGUGAAAAGGCAUGGGUAGAGACGUCUCUCCACUCCCUUCGAGGACUGAGGAAGGCCAGAAACAGUGUUUGGGAGUUACCAAGUCUUCUUUCCCCAUCAACCCUUCAUUUUGAUGGCCCAGGAAAGUAAUCUGGUCAGAGAGAGAUGCCAACGCUUAGAGCCCAGCUCCACAGAGGUGAGGUUGGUCUUAGAGGGUGAUAGAAUUCCUUCCUUGCUGUUCCUCAAGUCAACGCCCUGUUCUACUCCCAACCCCUGAAUGUUUUUCUUUUGGAAAAGCCCCUAUGGUGCUACAGGGAAAUUGCCCUGCAGGUGGCUAUUUUAAUCCCAACACCCUGGAACGGAAAAGCUCAGCCCCUGGCCCAAAAUAACCCACAGAACAGCUGUCGGUUACUGGCCCCCACUGACCCUGCCCCAGCCCCUGGCACUGCUGGGGAUUGGUGGAGCCAGCUAUUCCGAAGUCUCAGAGCUAAGUCUGGGUAUUUUUCCCAGUUUGGAAGGGAGUUGGCUGACCUCUUUUUCCAGUUUGAAAGCCAGUUGGUGCCUCUGAGCCAGGGAUCGGGCAGUUGAGCCUUUGGGGCAGAGCCAAAGGCCCCAGAACUUUCAUGAGUUCCAGGAGGGGCUGGGUGUCAGGCCCCCUCAAUCACUCCUCCCUUGCACACACCCUGGCUACCAAGCUAGACCUGCAGCCCCUGUCUUGCACCCACCCCUCUCCAUAAUGUCUUGCAGUUCCCGGUUUCAGGGGCUCUGCCUUCUGAAGAGGGUGGAAUGGAUCGGGGUGGGUGAAGGUAUCUUAGCCACAUUGAUGCUGUUAAUGGUGCAAGAAGAGCAUGUGCCACCACCCUAAACUCUGCAAAAGCACCCUGAAAAGAGAUCUCUUGCUCUCUUUCAGCCUCGGGUUCUGUUCUGGGCUGAGCAAUACCAUCGCUCCUGACGGAGCUGUAGGUCUAAGUGUACACAGGCGUCUUCCUGUCAAGGGGUCUGGCUAACUGCGGCUCUGCACUGUGAGUCAGAUCCCAGUCCUUCCCCUGGUGUCUGGACCUGAUCCUGCCGCUGCCUACAGAGCCAUAGGGGGGUUGCCUCCAUCUUUUUGGAGAUAGCCCAGACCUUGUCUGUUAAAAUUCAGCCUUGUGAGAGGUGGGCUUUCACCUCAGAAGAGGAUACCCAGAGUAAACAUGGCACUCACUCACGGGUGGCUUUAUUCAGCAGCAACAGUCCCCUUUUAUCUAGAAUGUGCACAGUGUUUAGCCAAUGAUAACUCACAAAACAGGGCCAUGCUCGAUGGCAAAAUAAUGCAAGGGGACUCCGGGGACAAAACAGCUGAGAGAUGCCUCUCCUUGGCUGUAACUCUCUUGUCCUGAAAUUAAGAGGAAAUGUUUCCUCUGCCCUUGCACAGACAGUGUGAGGGCAUGAGGGAAAUUAUUUGUGUGGAAACGUGACUUGGAAAAUGUUGUAGAAACCACGCGUGGCUUCUAUGGAGUGGCCACAAAUCUCCCUGUCGGGAACUCCUUGCUUUUUGCUUUGAGUGUCUCCCAAAGUCCCCUGGAUCCUAAUCUGACUUGUUUUCUUUAUUAAUUAACAUCAGCAGGACAUGAGCAGGUUGAGGCUCAGGAGAAUCAGGAGGCACCCCCAUGCCAUAGGACUCUCAUUCCUUGGGAAAAUAAAAGCUUUGCCAUCUCUGAUAUUUCUUCCUCUUGCAAGAAACACAAAACCAUGACCUGAGCAAGGUCAUCCGUGAGUCAGGGAUAAGAGCUGGGAAUAGAAUGUGGGCAUUGUGGGUCCCCACUUGGCCACUCACCCACUCUUCCCGGACCCACGUGGGACAAACCUCUUAGGGAGAGGACAAAAUGCAAAUAAAGAGGCCUGAAGAAGCUUUCAGAGUGUCUGUCUGUCAGGAGUGUUCCUGUGUUUACUCUUAGAGGUAACAAACAUACCAAGAUUCCUACUCAAGAGACUCUAAAUGGGAUAUAAAAUACCCAAGGUAUUCUGGUGGAUGUUUAAAAAAAAACAACAACCUAACAUUCAGGUCAUUGAAAUAGCUCAGUGGAUCAAGGUGCUUUCUAUCAAGCAGGAUGAACUGAGUUCGAUCCCUGGGACCUAGAAGGUUGAAGGAGAGAGAACAACUCCUACAAGUUGUCCUCUGAGCUGCAGAGGAACGCUGUAGUACAUGUGUGCCUACACAUAUACCUGUACACAUACAUGCUGACACACUAAAUACAGGAAUGUAAUUUAAUGUCUAAAAAUGUCCUAUUGCUUGCAUUAACAUCUUUAUUUCAUGCGUAUGCACAUUUUGCCUGCAUGUAUGUCCAUGCACUACUUGUGUGACUACUGCCCAAGGCGGGUCAGACGAGGACUUGAACCCUUGGGAACUGGAUUUACAGAUGAUUGUGAGCUGGAAAUCAAACCCAACUCCUCCAGAGGAGCAGCCAGUGCUCUUUUUUUUUUUUUUUUUUCUUUUUCUUUUUUUUCUGGAGCUGGGGACCGAACCCAGGGCCUUGCGCUUGCUAGGCAAGCGCUCUACCACUGAGCUAAAUCCCCAACCCCGCAGCCAGUGCUCUUAACUGCCGAGCCAUGUCUCCACUCCAGCUCCAUAUAUAUAUAUAUAUAUAUAUACACAUACAUACAUAUAUACAUAUAUAUACAUAUAUAUAUUAAUAUAGGGUCUCAUUCUGCCUUUCCCCUCCUCCCUUCCACCCCUCAUCCCUAAACCUCCCUGUACUGUACUUCCCAAUCUUUAUUCAGAGAUCUUUCUGUCCUGUCCUUUUCCCAACCUUCUCCAUUAACCAGGAGGCGAGGUCCAGGGUAGCUGCAUGCACAGAAAUCCCCUGGAAAUCCCCCAGUGGGGCCAGGAUCCCGAGAGCAAAACCAAUCCAACAGACUGGCUUCCCCUUUUUGUUGCCAGGCUGACAUCUGAAUUAGCCAAAGUCCCAGGCCUUGACUCGUAAGCGAGAUGAUGCCAGUACGUCGAAGGCUGUGUUGGAAUCAUAAAAAUUGUGGCUUGUGUUGGGUGAUGUCAUUUGGAUUACUGGUGUGAAUCACUUUUUGAUCAGAGCCUGGCUGCCAGGGCAGGAGGCAUGAGGACAUCCCCUUGUCCCCCAGGGAUGAGAACAUACUCUAGCCCUUUUCCUGAAGCAGCUUGACACGUAGAUGUCUGUGUCCCUUACUUAAGGAUUCAACUCAACUCCCGACACUUCUGCACCACCACCACCAGGGGGUGCUAUGUGCCGCUCUCGCAGGUUCCAAGAGGGAACUGGAGGCAGGUAUUUCUUCUACACACACACACACACACACACACACACACACACACACACACACUGCACUUUACUCAGUAGCUUGCUUGGUCUGAGCAUGAGAACGUUAGGAUUUGUGUGGGACUCAGGACAUGGGAUCAGUCCAUUGGCCUGGCACCUUCUGUAUUCAUAGCCGGUGCUCCUAAUGCCAGCCAAGCAUCCGUCAAGUGUGUGGCCUCAUGUAGGGCUGGAGGAAGUUGGGGUUAACGGCAUCCUAUCUGUUCCACGGAAAGCAUUAGUCCUAGGCAACAUCAUCCUAUGGGCAAGACAUGCUCCAACAAGCCAUGGUGUUACUCGCCCCCAAUUCCGCUCCACCUGUCCUCAUCUCCUAUCCACUGACAAGACCCCUUCCCCAUUAUCUCCUUACCCAAGCCACACAGCCUGCUAACUCUCACCAGAAGUCUACUCCUGCCCAACCCCCAACUCCUGACUCCAAUAGUCAAGGACGCCAAAGUGACCAUUGAAAAUAUACAUGAGAAUAUGUCGCCCCCUGCUCAGAUGCUGCCGAUGGGUUCCUGUGUGUGACAGAAAGAUUUCUAAGAUCUCGGGAUCGCGCCCCCAGGCGUUCCUCGAGUGAGGGUGGACGGAACCUGUGGCUUGUUUCUGCCAGACAGCUCACAGCAAUGGAGGAUAUCACAUCUGAGACUGGGUGACAAAGGACAGUGGUUUCAUUCUGCGUUGCCAGCAGACUGUCACCAUCUUGGCUUGCACAGUUUGAUGGAGCAAGCUGCCAGCUUGGAGUGGCCCACAUGGCAAUGAUCGGAGGGUGACCUCAGAGCAACGGCCCACAAGGAACGGAGCCGGCCAACAUCUGCAGGAGCUUAAAGCGGAGCCUUCCAAGUUGAGCCUGAAGCUGUCCACAGGCCCAACCCAAAGUGCUUUCUUACUCAGAAAAAAUGUAUACAAAGCCACGGUUAGUUUUAAGCUACUAAAUGGGAAUGGGGGUGCGUUUUGUUAUACAGCAGUAGCUAACUAAUACAGCCACUUUUAAUAAAAAUCUCGCCAGGCCUGGCUCUAUGUAUCUUU
Rattus norvegicus (Norway rat) is the source of this 5028-nucleotide non-coding RNA. Lineage: Eukaryota; Metazoa; Chordata; Mammalia; Rodentia; Muridae. The record is from RefSeq and is a predicted model, not a curated record.